Molecule: ribosomal RNA, 503 nt
Filed under: uncultured bacterium
Lineage: Bacteria
Description: partial 16S ribosomal RNA
Rfam family: Bacterial small subunit ribosomal RNA
Source: RNAcentral
AACGAACGCUGGCGGCGCGUUUUAAGCAUGCAAGUCGAAUGGCAGUGGGGGCAACCCCAUGAGAAUGGCGAACGGGUGAGUAACACGUAGGUGAUCUGCCUGACGGUUGGGGAUAGCCUGUGGAAACACUGGGUAAUACCGAAUGAGCUGACGACACUUUGGUGAUGUUAGUAAAGGUGCUACGGCACCGCCGACAGAGGAGCCUGCGGCUGAUUAGCGAGUUGGUGGGGUAAAGGCCUACCAAGGCGACGAUCAGUAGCCGGCCUGAGAGGGUGUACGGCCACACUGGAACUGAGACACGGUCCAGACUCCUACGGGAGGCAGCAGCUAAGAAUCUUCCGCAAUGGGCGAAAGCCUAACGGAGCGAUGCCGCGUGAUCGAUGAAGGUCGAGAGAUUGUAAAGAUCUUUUCCACAUGAGGAAUAAGUCUGGGAGGGAAUGCCUGGAUGAUGACGUUAGUGUGGGAAUAAGCCCCGGCUAAUUACGUGCCAGCCGCCGCCGUAA